RNAcentral lists this long non-coding RNA (1846 nucleotides) under Eucalyptus grandis. RNAcentral describes it as "long non-coding RNA (EGRA_LNC002567)". Lineage: Eukaryota; Viridiplantae; Streptophyta; Magnoliopsida; Myrtales; Myrtaceae. The record is from RNAcentral.
CCCCUCUCGGGAUUAUCUUCUUCUUCCAAAAAUCCUUCUCUUUAAGUUUCACCUCCGAGUUCUCCUUCUUAGACUCCUCCUCAGCUCCUCAUCGGGGUCCUGAAAUGUUUUUCCCCAAACUGGGAUGAGACUACGUCUCAGCGAGUUCUACCCCACUAAGCCCGAUUAGUAAACCAUUAUACUAUAGGCUGCCUAAACACGCACAGGGCAGAGGACUUACCUUGGCCUCAGAUUCCACCUGCAAGUCAGUACAAUUCACAUACCUUACGUAUAGAAUCGAUACAUCCAGCAAUUGAAACGCAUCACUCAACUCAAUAAAACACAAGGGUCCAGAUUAUAGGGCCAAAUCGUUAUGACACGUCCCAUACCAUGUCACACAAUUAUGUCUCAUAAUCCGGCGCAUCAAACUCAACCAUCAUGCGUUCCAAUUGUUAAUUACACCCCUCAAGGGUACGGCCAACUCUAUUGGCGGUCUUCUGGCAUUGCCAGGCGUCGUCUCCCCCGUGAGCACGGCAACGUCUCUCAAUUAGACGGCUUCCCCGAAGGGGCGUAGGUCCAGAAUCUACUGCGACCCGCUACCCUAAUGCAUGGGUAACCCGAAAAGGGAUUUAGUAACGUCCGGCAUAAUUGCUCGAGACUGGUUCUCUUAACCAACACACGACCACUCAAUCUCGGCCUAGGACCCUGUGCAUUGCACUCAAAUGCCUCCAUUAAAAUAGUGAUCCUGGCCUAUUUCCUUCGUAUUAAAAACAUCCCGAAAAUAGUCGUGUGUGGGUACACGGUCAAUUCGAACCAGAAGACUGAUACUUAUCUUUUUCAAACCCCACUAUUUGAUAUAGUACUAAAAAUCCAUUUUCGGUGUUAAAACCCGACACCCGGGAUUUUCUGAAUAAAUAUCAAGAUCCACAAAUUUUGGAAUUAAAUACCAAGAAUCCAAUCAGCACUCAAUUUGCAUAAUUUAACACUCAAUUGCAGAAUUUAACCACGCCAUUUACCAAUCCAUAAUUCAGUCUCUAUCAAUUCCAAUCAAUUUAGAGUAAAUCUCUAAAAUAUCACAAUUUAUUUAAUUCCAUACAACGUGGAGCUCAAAUAAAUAAACGGACUGCGCCACAAUGAUCAGCACGAGAUUUCGGUCGUCGGCCAUCAAAAUCUUAAUUUCCGAAAAAUAAUUAAUUAAUUUAUUAAUUUUGAAAAUUAAAUAAUUAAUAUUAAAAAUUCAAUUUAGCACAAAAUAAAGCCUAAUUAAAUAAACGAACUUCACCACAGUCAUCAGCAUAAAAUUCCGGUUCCGGACCAUCUCAGUUGAAUUUUCGGAAAAUAAAUAAAUAAUUAAUUUAAUUCCGAAAAAUAAUAUUUAAAUGCCAAAAAUCACACUUAGGCCCAAAUCGCCAAAUUGAAGCCCAAUUAGGGGUCGGAAAAUUUCCGAGAUACUUCCAAUAAAUAGUAGACCACGUCUACUUGUUAAUUGCGCAAUCAAUUUAUCUAAAUCACAUCACAAUUAACUAAUAAUUGCUAAUUUAUUCUAAUCUAACAACCUAAACAUAAUUAAUUAAAACUAAACCAACCUUAAGCAUAAUUAGCCAACUAAUCCUGGAUUAGUGAGAUUACUCACCAAAUCGUGCGCAAAUCGGAUCAAUCCGACGGCGGCGACGCGAGGAACGAAACUUCCCAAAGCGACUCGCGGAUCCAGGGCCCGGAAACGGCCCAAAAGCGGGCCCAAACCAGCUGGAAACCCAUUUCGUGGGUUGCUGGUCGGGGCUGGCCGGGGUUGCUCCGGUGGCCAAAACAGCGAGGGAAGGCCAGCGGAAGGUGAGGGGGACGCCGGGGAGGUCCGGCGGAGUUGGGC